UAUGCGUAUCUUCCCAAUAAGGCUAUGCAAGUAACAAUACUGCACCACCUAGUCACAUGAUUUUGGGUGGCUAAAGUCUAACGUUCUUCAAAAUAUUAUAGUUGUUUAAGCUUACGGAGGAAGCUCUCAAUUCUAACAAUCUCUUUACUUCACUAUCCAAUAUGCUUUGCUUUCUGUAGAUGUUGUAUGUUAAGAGCUUAGGUUGGAAUUCCUUCGUAGCUUUUUACUUUCUUUUGGGUAACAGUUUUUAAAAAAAUGUUGUGCUGGAGUUAUUUUUCUGAUGGAGAUUGCUUCAGUGACAAUCUAUAUGGGUUUUUGGUGGGAUGUUUUAGUUGGUUGCAAAAUAUUGAUUUCAGGAUAUAUUCUGUGCUUGAUUUUACAGGUCGAGAGUCCUCCAAAUAGGCGAUCAUCUCAGCAGAAUAUAUUGGUGCACUCCAUUUGCUCCGGAGUUGCUUGUUUGCCUGCGUUUCAUACCCGCAGGUGCAGGUAGACAGGCUGACGGUCCCCCUUCUUAGGAUCCUUGUUCAGCGAGAGUUGGUGUGCUCCAUUUGAUCUGGAGAUGCUUUUGAGUUUUUGGUACAAUAUGUUUGUAUACAUAUAUGGGUAUGACGGGGCCCAGUCUCGUCCUUUAUACAGUUGUACACUCUAUUAGA
Molecule: non-coding RNA, 653 nt
Organism: Nicotiana tabacum (common tobacco)
Lineage: Eukaryota; Viridiplantae; Streptophyta; Magnoliopsida; Solanales; Solanaceae
Source: RefSeq, a predicted model, not a curated record